CACAAACCUGUGAUUACCUGGCGGGUGAACCGCUCCGGUGGCGGGGAGAGCGGGCUCCCAGCGCUGGGUAGGGCCCGGGUUCCGGCGAGCGCCAUCCCGGAGCGUCAGUUUCCCAGUUUGGGAAGUGAGGAGAACCUGCCUCGCCCUCCCCCGCCAAGGCUUAGGGAAGGGACUAUGGCAGUUCCAAGAGGAAAUCAGGCUCUCACUCUGUUGCCCAGGCUGGAUUGCAGUGGCGUGAUCAUGCCUCACUGCAGUCUCAACCUCCCUGGGCUCAAGCAAUCCUCCCACUUCAGCCUCCAGAGUAGCUGGGACCACAGUGUGGCUGUCCAGCUGGGCUGAGUCGCCCAAGAAGGACGUGACAGGUGCCGACGCCACCGCCGAGCCCAUGAUCCUGGAACAGUACGUGGUGGUGUCCAACUAUAAGAAGCAGGAGAACUCGGAGCUGAGCCUCCAGGCCGGGGAGGUGGUGGAUGUCAUCGAGAAGAACGAGAGCGGCUGGUGGUUCGUGAGCACUUCUGAGGAGCAGGGCUGGGUCCCUGCCACCUACCUGGAGGCCCAGAAUGGUACUCGGGAUGACUCCGACAUCAACACCUCUAAGACUGGAGAAGAGGAGAAGUAUGUCACUGUGCAGCCUUACACCAGCCAAAGCAAGGACGAGAUUGGCUUUGAGAAGGGCGUCACAGUGGAGGUGAUCCGGAAGAAUCUGGAAGGCUGGUGGUAUAUCAGAUACCUGGGCAAAGAGGGCUGGGCGCCAGCAUCCUACCUGAAGAAAGCCAAGGAUGACCUGCCAACCCGGAAGAAGAACCUGGCCGGCCCAGUGGAGAUCAUCGGGAACAUCAUGGAGAUCAGCAACCUGCUGAACAAGAAGGCAUCUGGGGACAAGGAAACUCCACCAGCCGAAGGCGAGGGCCAUGAGGCCCCCAUUGCCAAGAAGGAGAUCAGCCUGCCCAUCCUCUGCAAUGCCUCCAAUGGCAGCGCUGUGGGCGUUCCUGACAGGACUGUCUCCAGGCUGGCCCAGGGCUCUCCAGCUGUGGCCAGGAUUGCCCCUCAGCGGGCCCAGAUCAGCUCCCCGAACCUACGGACAAGACCUCCACCACGCAGAGAAUCCAGCCUGGGGUUCCAGCUGCCAAAGCCACCAGAGCCCCCUUCUGUUGAGGUGGAGUACUACACCAUUGCCGAAUUCCAGUCGUGCAUUUCCGAUGGCAUCAGCUUUCGGGGUGGACAGAAGGCAGAGGUCAUUGAUAAGAACUCAGGUGGCUGGUGGUACGUGCAGAUCGGUGAGAAGGAGGGCUGGGCCCCCGCAUCAUACAUCGAUAAGCGCAAGAAGCCCAACCUGAGCCGCCGCACAAGCACGCUGACCCGGCCCAAGGUGCCCCCACCAGCACCCCCCAGCAAGCCCAAGGAGGCUGAGGAGGGCCCUACGGGGGCCAGUGAGAGCCAGGACUCCCCACGGAAGCUCAAGUACGAGGAGCCUGAGUAUGACAUCCCUGCAUUCGGCUUUGACUCAGAGCCUGAGCUAAGCGAGGAGCCCGUGGAGGACAGAGCCUCAGGGGAGAGGCGGCCUGCCCAGCCCCACCGGCCCUCGCCAGCCUCUUCUCUGCAGCGGGCCCGCUUCAAGGUGGGUGAGUCUUCAGAGGAUGUGGCCCUGGAAGAGGAGACCAUCUAUGAGAAUGAGGGCUUCCGGCCAUAUGCAGAGGACACCCUGUCAGCCAGAGGCUCCUCCGGGGACAGCGACUCCCCAGGCAGCUCUUCGCUGUCCCUGGCCAGGAAAAACUCCCCCAAAUCAGGCUCCCCCAAGUCAUCAUCACUCCUAAAGCUCAAGGCAGAGAAGAAUGCCCAGGCAGAACUGGGGAAGAACCACUCCUCAGCCUCCUUUUCCUCAUCCAUCACCAUCAACACCACUUGCUGCUCCUCCUCUUCCUCCUCCUCCUCUUCCUUGUCCAAAACCAGUGGUGACUUGAAGCCCCGCUCUGCUUCGGACGCAGGCAUCCGCGGCACUCCCAAGGUCAGGGCAAAGAAGGAUGCUGAUGCGAACGCUGGGCUGACCUCCUGUGCCCGGGCGAAGCCAUCGGUCCGGCCCAAGCCGUUCCUGAAUCGAGCAGAGUCGCAGAGCCAAGAGAAGAUGGACAUCAGCACUUUACGGCGCCAGCUGAGACCCACGGGCCAGCUCCGUGGAGGGCUCAAGGGCUCCAAGAGUGAGGAUUCGGAGCUGCCCCCGCAGACGGCCUCUGAGGCUCCCAGUGAGGGGUCUAGGAGAGGCUCAUCUGACCUCAUCACCCUCCCAGCCACCACUCCCCCAUGUCCCACCAAGAAGGAAUGGGAAGGGCCAGCCACCUCGUACAUGACAUGCAGUGCCUACCAGAAGGUCCAGGACUCAGAGAUCAGCUUCCCCGCGGGCGUGGAGGUGCAGGUGCUGGAGAAGCAGGAGAGCGGGUGGUGGUACGUGAGGUUUGGGGAGCUGGAGGGCUGGGCCCCUUCCCACUAUUUGGUGCUGGAUGAGAACGAGCAACCUGACCCCUCUGGCAAAGAGCAGGACACAGUGCCCGCCAAGGGCAGGCAGAACGAAGGCAAGUCAGACAGCCUGGAGAAGAUCGAGAGGCGCGUCCAAGCACUGAACACCGUCAACCAGAGCAAGAAGGCCACGCCCCCCAUCCCCUCCAAACCUCCCGGGGGCUUUGGCAAGACCUCAGGCACUCCAGCGGUGAAGAUGAGGAAUGGAGUGCGGCAGGUGGCGGUCAGGCCCCAGUCGGUGUUUGUGUCCCCGCCACCCAAGGACAACAACCUGUCCUGCGCCCUGCGGAGGAAUGAGUCACUCACGGCCACUGAUGGCCUCCGAGGUGUCCGACGGAACUCCUCCUUUAGCACUGCUCGCUCUGCUGCCGCCGAGGCCAAGGGCCGCCUGGCCGAACGGGCCACCAGCCAGGGUUCAGACUCACCCCUGCUGCCCGCCCAGCGCAAUGGCAUCCCCGUGUCCCCUGUGCGCCCCAAGCCCAUUGAGAAGUCUCAGUUCAUCCACAAUAACCUCAAAGACGUGUACGUCUCUAUCGCGGACUACGAGGGGGAUGAGGAGACAGCAGGCUUCCAGGAGGGAGUGUCCAUGGAGGUUCUGGAGAGGAACCCUAAUGGCUGGUGGUACUGCCAGAUCCUGGAUGGUGUGAAGCCCUUCAAAGGCUGGGUGCCUUCCAACUACCUUGAGAAAAAGAACUAGCAGAGGGCCUGGGCUCUUCCAGCCUCAGUGUGCCUCUCUGGCCGCCCACUGGAUGAGCGGUGAGACGAACAAAAGGGAAAGGAAAAAACGGGAGGGGUGGGGGGUGGACAACAUUCAACACUGCAGAAUGGGUGACCUCAAAGAUGCCCCCUGUCCAAGCCAUCCCACAGCUGGAAGGUAGGGGAUGGGGGUGCCCACACUGAGUAAGGAAGGGAAUGGACCAGGGAGUCCCAGGCCUGAGACCCAGGGCCAAGAAAGCUGAGAUCCCCUGUGCACCGUAGGGACUUCACCAAUGGAUUACAUGCCAUCUGGGACAGGCCAUGUGGGAGAUCCCAGUUGUGCCUUUGCUACAGAUCUGGAAAAGACAUGGUCAUGGGGGCCUCCAGUAUCCUGCCCCUGCUUGGCCCGGUUUUGAUUGCUGGCAUCUUGCCACCCCAGGUAGCCCUGAUAUUGUCCUAAGCUGUAUUUGUGAAUUGUGCUGGUUUCCUGGGCAUUGCCACUGCCUACCAUAGGUGGGUACAUUAGAAGCCACCACUGGCUUUGGGGCUUGGGGGUGUCUUCUGAGCUCAAGCCUGCUUCUGGGCCAGGCCAUUGUCACUGUUAGUUGAAGAAAAAGCAGUUCCCAGGUGCCAGCAAGGACCAUCUUUCAUAACUGUCACUGUCUUGGCCUUGAGAAGAGAGCCCGCUCUCUGCGGGGCACGCCAUGGAGGACACAGUACCAGAGUUUACAGAGAGGGUGGGCAAAGUCACUGGUCUCUUCCUAAUCUGCACAGACUAUUUUGGGUAUUUCCGGGCGGGCAGUUCCUUUGCAUGUUUCGGGAGAGGUUUGUUGAUUUCGGGCUUAUAUGUCAGGCCUUUGGUUUGCGUCUUGUUUUAGGGGUUGUUUGGGGGCCUGGGUGGUCGGCCUCACAUGGGAAGGGGAUGGGUAGUAGAUGGGGUUUCUGUUGUAUCUUGUGGGCGGGUGAUUUUGCUUUUGUUUUUGUUUCACAUUCUUCCCCCUCCACAAGCCAAAGUCGUUUCAUUUGGUUUCCACUGUGUGGACUGUGCUGGAGCUUGGCGCCUGCCAGAAAAAUUUGGGGCUAGGCAAGCCCCGGGUUGCAGACAUGGUGAAGCAGAGAAACUGUUCUUCUGGUUCCUGCACAACCUCAGAGGGGCAAAAACCGUCCCCAGGAAGGAGGAGGGUGUUCAGGACCCAGACUUUUGGAGAGAAGGCAGCUCCCAGCCUGCUGGGUGACCGCCAUUCUGCGUGUGUUCCCCAGCUGGGCAGGGCUGGAAGCCUUACGUAUGAAGUGUGGAGAAGCAGCCAUUGUCCCCACUAUGGGCAGAGGGGGGACCCGGCUGGCCCCUUGGGUCAGACUGGAGCCAACACCGCCAGCCGCCCCCUCUGGCCUGCUGGCGAUGCCACAGGUGCCCAAGAAGAUGGAGGAUCCCUGUGCCAGGAGCCAACCUGGUCUUCCCGAGGGGCAGUGCCCCAGUGAAGACAGAAGCAAAAGAAUAAAGUUCCCUGUAGGUCCUCUGUCACCUUUGGGUUGUGUUUUUCAAUUGUUGACAUUUCAGAGGGGACCCUCUAGGAGCCCAGCCGGCUUCUCCCAAGGACUCCCCCUUCGCUGGGAGUGGAUUUCCACACGUGCCUUUGAUUUCGGACAGAUUGGGCCUCACAGCCACCGAUUCAGCUGCCAGGGUCCCUGGACUGGGGGUUGGUGUUUUCUGUAGAGGAGGAAAGGCCCUCCCUCACCCUGCUCCCCACCCAGGCAGGGUAGCAUGGGACCCAGUGUCUCAGUGCCUUCAAAACCCACCCCCACCCCUACCCUACCACACCCCAUCCCAGAGGCCUUGCCUGGGCAACCCUAAGCCCCUGUCCCUCGCCAUACACUGAUGCCUGGCAGCUAGAGCAAAUGGCUCGUGUUCUUUGUCGAAGGCCUGUGGUGAGAUUGUUUUGUUUCCUUUUGUUUUGUGAGUUUGUUUAAAAUUGAAAUUAUUUUCUUCUGCUGGACAGUAUUAAAUAGAGCAGGAUGUUGAGUUAAUCUGCUAGAUUGCAGUACUAAUGGUAGUGGUUUAGUGUCUUCAUAUUAAUAUUAUUUGUACUUAUUUGAACAAUAAUGAUAAAGAAGUGGUUCAUUAUUUUUUAAUUAAUGCACUUUAAAUAAGAUAGAAUGGAAAAAACCCAGAGAGCAAAGUGCAUUACUUAAAGAUGCAGUAUAUACUUUUCUCAUUUUUAAACAGCACAUAUUUAUUAAGAGAAAAAAAGUAAUUUAUGACUAUUUAAAAUAAAAUUUAAAAGUAG
This 5492-nucleotide small RNA is filed under the name Pongo abelii (Sumatran orangutan). RNAcentral describes it as "processed transcript". Lineage: Eukaryota; Metazoa; Chordata; Mammalia; Primates; Hominidae. The record is from RNAcentral.